RNAcentral lists this unclassified non-coding RNA (345 nucleotides) under soil metagenome. Its description in RNAcentral is "partial contains 5.8S ribosomal RNA, internal transcribed spacer 2, and large subunit ribosomal RNA". The stretch from base 1 to 120 matches the Rfam family "5.8S ribosomal RNA", at positions 35 to 154 of the family's 154-position model. The record is from RNAcentral.
GAUGAAGAACGUAGCGAAAUGCGAUAAGUAAUGUGAAUUGCAGAAUUCAGUGAAUCAUCGAGUCUUUGAACGCACAUUGCGCCCCCUGGUAUUCCGGGGGGCAUGCCUGUCCGAGCGUCAUUGCUGCCCUCAAGCACGGCUUGUGUGUUGGGCCUCCGUCCUCCUCCCGGGGGACGGGCCCGAAAGGCAGCGGCGGCACCGCGUCCGGUCCUCGAGCGUAUGGGGCUUCGUCACCCGCUCUUGUAGGCCGGGCCGGCGCUUGCCGACACAUCAAUCUUUUUUCCAGGUUGACCUCGGAUCAGGUAGGGAUACCCGCUGAACUUAAGCAUAUCAAUAAGCGGAGGA